This 565-nucleotide ribosomal RNA is filed under the name Fusarium sp. SCAU-F-29. Its description in RNAcentral is "eukaryotic LSU rRNA". The stretch from base 189 to 342 matches the Rfam family "5.8S ribosomal RNA". The record is from RNAcentral. Lineage: Eukaryota; Fungi; Ascomycota; Sordariomycetes; Hypocreales; Nectriaceae.
CCUCAAUCUCGAUUGGUGACCAGCGGAGGGACAUUACCGAGUUAUACAACUCAUCAACCCUGUGAACAUACCUAAAACGUUGCUUCGGCGGGAACAGACGGCCCCGUAACACGGGCCGCCCCCGCCAGAGGACCCCCUAACUCUGUUUCUAUUAUGUUUCUUCUGAGUAAAACAAGCAAAUAAAUUAAAACUUUCAACAACGGAUCUCUUGGCUCUGGCAUCGAUGAAGAACGCAGCGAAAUGCGAUAAGUAAUGUGAAUUGCAGAAUUCAGUGAAUCAUCGAAUCUUUGAACGCACAUUGCGCCCGCCAGUAUUCUGGCGGGCAUGCCUGUUCGAGCGUCAUUACAACCCUCAGGCCCCCGGGCCUGGCGUUGGGGAUCGGCGAGGCGCCCCCUGCGGGCACACGCCGUCCCCCAAAUACAGUGGCGGUCCCGCCGCAGCUUCCAUUGCGUAGUAGCUAACACCUCGCAACUGGAGAGCGGCGCGGCCACGCCGUAAAACACCCAACUUCUGAAUGUUGACCUCGAAUCAGGUAGGAAUACCCGCUGAACUUAAGCAUAUCAAA